CUGGGAAGAGGAAACCCGAGCAAGGAGACUCUUUAAUGAUCGAUCAACAUCUCCUCGCGCAGCGCGACGAGAGCGAUUGAAAUCGCAGCAAUGCAACAAAGCGACAGUGAUCGUCCGGAAUUCGCCAUUGCGACUUCGACGCGUGGGUUUCUCUGCCAAUUCCCGUAAGCAUCGAACAAAAAAAAACGAGGAGUUCUCUCUCUUCUAGAAAGUGUGGAAACUUUGAGUUUCAGGGGUAGCACAGUGAUUCCGAGCAAGUCAAGCGCGAAAGAAGAAGCCAAGCCGAAAUACUAGCGCGCAUAUUUUCUCUUUGUCGGUCUAGCGUCGGCGUUGAUGGCGAUGUACCACGUACGCUCUGGAUGCUGACACGUGGACGGUCCACCUUUUAUGUGUCUUUGAAUUUAAUUCUAUUGGUGGACAUGGCACCUAACGUUGUUGUCCACAUCUUA
Long non-coding RNA from Selaginella moellendorffii, 449 nucleotides. RefSeq lists it as uncharacterized. The record is from RefSeq and is a predicted model, not a curated record. The transcript has 2 exons. Lineage: Eukaryota; Viridiplantae; Streptophyta; Lycopodiopsida; Selaginellales; Selaginellaceae.